Molecule: ribosomal RNA, 497 nt
Filed under: uncultured bacterium
Lineage: Bacteria
Description: partial 16S ribosomal RNA
Rfam family: Bacterial small subunit ribosomal RNA
Source: RNAcentral
GAUGAACGCUGGCGGCGUGCCUAAUACAUGCAAGUCGAGCGAACAGACGAGGAGCUUGCUCCACUGACGUUAGCGGCGGACGGGUGAGUAACACGUGGAUAACCUCCCUAUAUGACUUAGAUAACUUCGAGUAACCGUAGCUCCUACCGUAUCAUAUCUUGAACCGCAUUGUUCAAUAGUGCAAUACGGGUUUGCUGUCACUUAUAGAUGUAUCCGCGCCUCAGUAGCUAGUUGGUCAGGUAACGCGCUACCAAGUCACCGAUGCGUAGCCGACCUGAGAGGGUGAUAGGCGACACUGGAACGGGGACGCGGUCAAGGCUCCUACGGGAGGCACCAGAAGGGUAUCGUCCGCAAUGGGCGAAAGCAUGGCAGAGCAACGGCGAGUCAGUGAUGAAGGUCUCCGGAGCGUAAAGCCCUGUUACGAGGGAAAAACAAAUGUGUAAGGAAAUAUGCACGUAUUGACGGUACCUAAUCAGAAAGCCACGGCUAACUACGUG